RNAcentral lists this ribosomal RNA (497 nucleotides) under uncultured bacterium. Its description in RNAcentral is "partial 16S ribosomal RNA". It matches the Rfam family "Bacterial small subunit ribosomal RNA", at positions 28 to 507 of the family's 1533-position model. The record is from RNAcentral.
GAUGAACGCUGGCGGCGUGCCUAAUACAUGCAAGUCGAGCGAACAGACGAGGAGCUUGCUCCUCUGACGUUAGCGGCGGACGGGUGAGUAACACGUGGAUAACCUACCUAUAAGACUGGGAUAACUUCGGGAAACCGGAGCUAAUACCGGAUAAUAUAUUGAACCGCAUGGUUCAAUAGUGAAAGACGGCUUUGCUGUCACUUAUAGAUGGAUCCGCGCCGCAUUAGCUAGUUGGUAAGGUAACGGCUUACCAAGGCAACGAUGCGUAGCCGACCUGAGGGGGUGAUCGGCCACACUGGAACUGAGACACGGUCCAGACUCCUACGGGAGGCAGCAGUAGGGAAUCUUCCGCAAUGGGCGAAAGCCUGACGGAGCAACGCCGCGUGAGUGAUGAAGGUCUUCGGAUCGUAAAGCUCUGUUAUUAGGGAAGAACAAAUGUGUAAGUAACUAUGCACGUCUUGACGGUACCUAAUCAGAAAGCCACGGCUAACUACGUG